RNAcentral lists this ribosomal RNA (292 nucleotides) under uncultured bacterium. RNAcentral describes it as "partial 16S ribosomal RNA". It matches the Rfam family "Bacterial small subunit ribosomal RNA", at positions 505 to 796 of the family's 1533-position model. The record is from RNAcentral.
GUGUCAGCAGCCGCGGUAAUACAGAGACUGUAAGCGUUGUUCGGAUUCAUUGGGCGUAAAGGGUGCGUAGGCGGUGAGGUAAGUUGGAUGUGAAAUCUCAGGGCCUAACCCUGAAAGUGCAUCCAAAACUGCCUUGCUUGAGGACUGGAGGGGAGACUGGAAUUCUCGGUGUAGCGGUGAAAUGCGUAGAUAUCGAGAGGAACACCAGUGGCGAAGGCGGGUCUCUAGCCAGUUCCUGACGCUGAGGCACGAAAGCCAGGGUAGCAAACGGGAUUAGAUACCCCCGUAGUCC